Molecule: ribosomal RNA, 250 nt
Filed under: Chrysomya rufifacies (hairy maggot blowfly)
Lineage: Eukaryota; Metazoa; Arthropoda; Insecta; Diptera; Calliphoridae
Description: partial 16S ribosomal RNA
Source: RNAcentral
UUCUAAAAUUUAUACUAGAAUUUUAUUUUUUAGUCAAAAAGCUAAAAUUUAUUUAAAAGACGAGAAGACCCUAUAAAUCUUUAUAUUUAGGUUAUUAUAAUUGUAUAGAUUUUUUUUGUUAUAAUAAUUAAUAAUAUUUUAUUGGGGUGAUAUUAAAAUUUAAUGAACUUUUAAUUAUUAAAAACAUUAAUUUAUGAAUAAUUGAUCCAUUAUUAGUGAUUAAAAAAAUAAGUUACCUUAGGGAUAACAG